GCGACUUGCUGUUAAUUCUUCACACUGUGGUUGUGUGUGCUGUCCCAUGUUUACAGAGAGAAUAAACCAGACCAAGUGCUUCAUUCAUCCUGCCUCCUGUCCACUGUAUCACACCAGCAACAGACCAAAAUAGGAUAGGUCACACAUGUCUUCAUGAAAAGAAGAAAAAAGAUCAGCAAGCUGAGAGCCACGGGUGGAGGAGUUGGUGUCCUGGGUGGUGGUGUCCCCCUCCUGGUGUGCUGUUUCCCUGGUUUGGGUCCCUUCCACGUCCGUCCAAUUGAGUAAGAGAAGCCAUACAGCAUGUGGAGAGCAGUCCAAGAGAGAGUCUGGUCUGGACAGUUCAGUGUCCAGAAGAGUGCCGAGCAGACCAGAAAGCGGUCAGGUCUGGCCAGUCCAAGAUGCCCCACUGAGGAGAGUUCUGCUGAGUCUCCUUGGGCCUCUUAGGCCCAUUCUUGAUCCAAGCGUUGUGCCAAGUCUGAUAAACAAUCAGACUUAGAAUUUUCUUAUCCAGUACAAGAUUUUUCCUAACCUUUUUGUCGCUUUGCGCUAACUUUUUGUAACGCAGAGUUUUUGUUUUUCUUUUAUCACCCGAUCGACUUCACUGUGAGCCAGCAGUCACGUAGUCUUGAUGCGUUUGACUUUAUCUAAUUUUUUAAUUGAACAAUCAAGAGCUGUUUUCUUUGGAACGAGAGACAAUCCUUCCCAGAGUCUGUGGAUUAGAGUCUGUACAGCCGUCCCUACAGUCUGAGCGACCCAUCGGCACCGCAGCAGCCCAGCUGAACCCAUCCAGGUCAGACCAGAGUUGGCACGCGGUAGCUUCGGGUGUUCAGAACUUGCCAGGCUCCUUCCACCAGGCCCUUCCGGACAGGCUAUUUUUCUUCCAAAUUCACACUCCAAAUUCUACACCGUCAGUUAAAUUUUUCUGUUAGGAUUAUUAAAAUAAUCCACCCUCACCAACUAAGAUAGCAUCCUUUCUCUUCACCAUAUUUAGUCAUGUCUGUUUAUUCAUUUACAUGAUCUAUUCAUAUAACCUGUG
Molecule: long non-coding RNA, 1036 nt
Organism: Cheilinus undulatus (humphead wrasse)
Lineage: Eukaryota; Metazoa; Chordata; Actinopteri; Labriformes; Labridae
Exons: 3
Source: RefSeq, a predicted model, not a curated record